GAUGAACGCUGGCGGCGUGCCUAAUACAUGCAAGUCGAGCGAACGGACGAGAAGCUUGCUUCUCUGAUGUUAGCUGCGGACGGGUGAGUAACACGUGGAUAACCUACCUAUAAGACUGGGAUAACUUCGGGAAACCGGAGCUAAUACCGGAUAAUAUUUUGAACCGCAUGGUUCAAAAGUGAAAGACGGUCUUGCUGUCACUUAUAGAUGGAUCCGCGCUGCAUUAGCUAGUUGGUAAGGUAACGGCUUACCAAGGCAACGAUGCAUAGCCGACCUGAGAGGGUGAUCGGCCACACUGGAACUGAGAAACGGUCCAGACUCCUACGGGAGGCAGCAGUAGGGAAUCUUCAGCAAUGGGCGAAAGCCUGACGGGGCAACGCCGCGUGAGUGAUGAAGGUCUUCGGAUCGUAAAACUCUGUUAUUAGGGAAGAACAUAUGUGUAAGUAACUGUGCACAUCUUGACGGUACCUAAUCAGAAAGCCACGGCUAACUACGUG
Molecule: ribosomal RNA, 497 nt
Filed under: uncultured bacterium
Lineage: Bacteria
Description: partial 16S ribosomal RNA
Rfam family: Bacterial small subunit ribosomal RNA
Source: RNAcentral